GCUGCAAACUUUCACUGGUGCUCAAGAAGGAAACGCACUGCUCUUUACAUGUACUGGGUCUUUGGCCCUAAACCUGAAGCUGGUGAUGCUGAGCGCGGCGGUGAAGAGGAGAGGGUUCUGAUGGAGGAAGAGCGAGCCGGUCUGCUGCCGGGAUUCAUCACCACCGAACACUAUCACACAGGGUCCGGCCUUCAUUACAUCACUUCACUAUGAGUCUACACACAGUCUGUGCCAGCUGUCACCAUUCUGGCUUAAGUUUUCACUUCGUUUUUAACAUGUUUUUAACAUACCAGAUGCUCUAUUAGCUGCUGUAGAACAGUGAAGGAUAGAUAGCAGUCUUUCAGUAUGGAAAGAGGACGUGGUCAUGUGAUCGUUGUGAUGUCAUCAUUGUAACUGCUGCUUCUGUGAUGCCAUUAAAAUGAAUUCUGGCACUGUAUAUAUACAUAUAACAGAAGGCAUAAAUGAUGCAAGUGUGAUACAGAAUUAAAGUCUCUCCUCAUUAGGAACCAACAGCUUGUUGUGUCUGAUUCAUCUUCAUGAUUCUAGAUUAUUCUAAUGCCUGUCUGGGUCAAUAAGCACAGAAACAUGUGAGAUGUUCAGCUCUAAAACACCACAUGAAACGCAUGAGGCCUGUCAAGAGCCCAAAAUCAAAACAAUGAAAUAUGUCGUGCUAAACUAAAGCUUGC
Molecule: long non-coding RNA, 686 nt
Organism: Cyprinus carpio (common carp)
Lineage: Eukaryota; Metazoa; Chordata; Actinopteri; Cypriniformes; Cyprinidae
Source: Ensembl